AAGUCUUCCUCCUUCGCUUGCCUUGCUUCUGCAUGCCCAUUGAAAAAAAAAAAAAACACUCGAUUUUAGCAAAUCUCACGUUGGCUGCAUAAUACAAGCUCGCUUGGUGGGAUACAAGUUACUUUCCCGUUAGCCUUUCAGAUCUCGAAGAUGAAUAUGCGCUUCACGUUGUCAUUAGCUGUCGUUUUAUCUUUGGUUCUGUUAGUGGAAGAGGCGAAAACUAUUGAUCGUUACAAGGUUCUUGGGGUUGAGCGGAAUGCAAGUCAACGUGAAAUACAGAAA
This 282-nucleotide unclassified non-coding RNA is filed under the name Hevea brasiliensis (rubber tree). Lineage: Eukaryota; Viridiplantae; Streptophyta; Magnoliopsida; Malpighiales; Euphorbiaceae. The record is from RNAcentral.